AGUGAACGCUGGCGGUAGGCCUAACACAUGCAAGUCGAACGGCAGCACAGUAAGAGCUUGCUCUUACGGGUGGCGAGUGGCGGACGGGUGAGGAAUACAUCGGAAUCUACUUUUUCGUGGGGGAUAACGUAGGGAAACUUACGCUAAUACCGCAUAUGACCUACGGGUGAAAGCAGGGGAUCUUCGGACCUUGCGCGAUUGAAUGAGCCGAUGUCGGAUUAGCUAGUUGGCGGGGUAAAGGCCCACCAAGGCGACGAUCCGUAGCUGGUCUGAGAGGAUGAUCAGCCACACUGGAACUGAGACACGGUCCAGACUCCUACGGGAGGCAGCAGUGGGGAAUAUUGGACAAUGGGCGCAAGCCUGAUCCAGCCAUACCGCGUGGGUGAAGAAGGCCUUCGGGUUGUAAAGCCCUUUUGUUGGGAAAGAAAAGCAGCAGGCUAAUACCCCGCUGUUCUGACGGUACCCAAAGAAUAAGCACCGGCUAACUUCGUG
RNAcentral lists this ribosomal RNA (492 nucleotides) under uncultured bacterium. RNAcentral describes it as "partial 16S ribosomal RNA". It matches the Rfam family "Bacterial small subunit ribosomal RNA", at positions 29 to 507 of the family's 1533-position model. The record is from RNAcentral.